RNAcentral lists this ribosomal RNA (467 nucleotides) under uncultured bacterium. Its description in RNAcentral is "partial 16S ribosomal RNA". It matches the Rfam family "Bacterial small subunit ribosomal RNA", at positions 28 to 506 of the family's 1533-position model. The record is from RNAcentral.
GACGAACGCUGGCGGCGUGCUUAACACAUGCAAGUCGAACGGAAAGGCCCUGCUUUUGUGGGGUGCUCGAGUGGCGAACGGGUGAGUAACACGUGAGUAACCUGCCCUUGACUUUGGGAUAACUUCAGGAAACUGGGGCUAAUACCGGAUAGGAGCUCCUGCUGCAUGGUGGGGGUUGGAAAGUUUCGGCGGUUGGGGAUGGACUCGCGGCUUAUCAGCUUGUUGGUGGGGUAGUGGCUUACCAAGGCUUUGACGGGUAGCCGGCCUGGGAGGGUGACCGGCCACAUUGGGACUGAGAUACGGCCCAGACUCCUACGGGAGGCAGCAGUGGGGAAUAUUGCACAAUGGGCGGAAGCCGGAUGCAGCAACGCCGCGUGCGGGAUGACGGCCUUCGGGUUGUAAACCGCUUUCGCCUGUGACGAAGCGUGAGUGACGGUAAUGGGGAAAGAAGCACCGGCUAACUACGU